This 221-nucleotide ribosomal RNA is filed under the name Hohenbuehelia sp. RNAcentral's name for it is "partial large subunit ribosomal RNA". The record is from RNAcentral. Lineage: Eukaryota; Fungi; Basidiomycota; Agaricomycetes; Agaricales; Pleurotaceae.
AAACGCUUGAAGUCAGUCGCGUUGACUAGGGAUCAGCCUUACCUUGGUGAGGUGUACUUCCUUGUCGACGGGUCAGCAUCAGUUUUGGCUGCUGGAUAAAGGCUAAGGGAAUGUGGCACCUUCGGGUGUGUUAUAGCCCUUGGUCAGAUACAGUGACUGGGACUGAGGAACUCAGCACGCGCAAGUUGUGCUUAGGAUGCUGGCAAAAUGGCUUUAAUCGA